RNAcentral lists this ribosomal RNA (426 nucleotides) under uncultured prokaryote. RNAcentral describes it as "bacterial SSU rRNA". It matches the Rfam family "Bacterial small subunit ribosomal RNA", at positions 355 to 796 of the family's 1533-position model. The record is from RNAcentral.
UGGGGAAUUUUCCGCAAUGGGCGCAAGCCUGACGGAGCAAUACCGCGUGAGGGAGGAAGGCUUUUGGGUUGUAAACCUCUUUUGUUAAGGAAGAAGAAGUGACGGUACUUAACGAAUCAGCAUCGGCUAACUCCGUGCCAGCAGGCGCGGUAAUACGGAGGAUGCAAGCGUUAUCCGGAACCAUUGGGCGUUAAGCGUCCGCAGGUGGUUCAUCAAGUCUGCUGUUAAAGACAGAAGCUCAACUUCUGAGGGGCAGUGGAAACUGGUGGACUAGAGUACGGUAGGGGUUGAGGGAAUUCCCAGUGUAGCGGUGAAAUGCGUAGAGAUUGGGAAGAACACCAGUGGCGAAGGCGCUCGACUGGGCCGUAACUGACACUCAGGGACGAAAGCGAGGGUAGCGAAAGGGAUUAGAUACCCCCGUAGUCC